This 334-nucleotide ribosomal RNA is filed under the name Paraphrynus laevifrons. Its description in RNAcentral is "partial small subunit ribosomal RNA". Lineage: Eukaryota; Metazoa; Arthropoda; Arachnida; Amblypygi; Phrynidae. The record is from RNAcentral.
GGGUAGUAGGAGAGGAUCUUGAAACCUAAAAUUUUUGGCGGUUUUUUAGUCUAAUUAGAGGAAUCUGUUCUGUAGUAGAUAACCCACUUUAAAUUUAACUUUGGUUAAAGCUUAUAUACCGCCGUCGUAAAGUGUGUUUUUUAGAUUUCAUUUAGGGGCUUAAGGGUUAGAAGAGAAAUGACAGGUCAAGGUGUAGCUAAUGCUGGAGGGUGAAAUGGAUUACAAUCUCAGAUUGGGAUACGGAUGUUGGUGAGAAAAAUUUGCUGCUUGAAGGUGGAUUUAUGAGUAAUAGAUAUAAUUAAGAUGUAGUUAUGAAGAUAGCUCUAAAGAAUGU